Sceloporus undulatus (fence lizard) is the source of this 67-nucleotide small nucleolar RNA. RefSeq annotates it as small nucleolar RNA SNORD73. The record is from RefSeq and is a predicted model, not a curated record. The transcript has a single exon. Lineage: Eukaryota; Metazoa; Chordata; Lepidosauria; Squamata; Phrynosomatidae.
AAUGAAUGAUGACAACUUGUUUCGGUCCCAUAUGAGUAAAUGAUUAUUUUUUUCCAAUGCUGACAUU